Molecule: ribosomal RNA, 829 nt
Filed under: Parachaetomium mareoticum
Lineage: Eukaryota; Fungi; Ascomycota; Sordariomycetes; Sordariales; Chaetomiaceae
Description: LSU rRNA
Rfam family: Eukaryotic large subunit ribosomal RNA
Source: RNAcentral
UUGCCCUAGUAACGGCGAGUGAAGCGGCAACAGCUCAAAUUUGAAAUCUGGCCUCGGCCCGAGUUGUAAUUUGCAGAGGAAGCUUUAGGCGCGGCACCUUCUGAGUCCCCUGGAACGGGGCGCCAUAGAGGGUGAGAGCCCCGUAUAGUUGGAUGCCUAGCCUGUGUAAAGCUCCUUCGACGAGUCGAGUAGUUUGGGAAUGCUGCUCAAAAUGGGAGGUAAAUUUCUUCUAAAGCUAAAUACCGGCCAGAGACCGAUAGCGCACAAGUAGAGUGAUCGAAAGAUGAAAAGCACUUUGAAAAGAGGGUUAAAUAGCACGUGAAAUUGUUGAAAGGGAAGCGCUUGUGACCAGACUUGCGCCGGGCGGAUCAUCCGGUGUUCUCACCGGUGCACUCCGCCCGGCUCAGGCCAGCAUCGGUUCUCGCGGGGGGAUAAAGGCCCUGGGAACGUAGCUCCUCCGGGAGUGUUAUAGCCCAGGGUGCAAUGCCCUCGCGGGGACCGAGGUUCGCGCAUCUGCAAGGAUGCUGGCGUAAUGGUCAUCAGCGACCCGUCUUGAAACACGGACCAAGGAGUCAAGGUUUUGCGCGAGUGUUUGGGUGUCAAACCCGCACGCGUAAUGAAAGUGAACGUAGGUGAGAGCUUCGGCGCAUCAUCGACCGAUCCUGAUGUUUUCGGAUGGAUUUGAGUAGGAGCGUUAAGCCUUGGACCCGAAAGAUGGUGAACUAUGCUUGGAUAGGGUGAAGCCAGAGGAAACUCUGGUGGAGGCUCGCAGCGGUUCUGACGUGCAAAUCGAUCGUCAAAUCUGAGCAUGGGGCGAAAGACUAAUCGA